Molecule: unclassified non-coding RNA, 272 nt
Organism: Aotus nancymaae (Ma's night monkey)
Lineage: Eukaryota; Metazoa; Chordata; Mammalia; Primates; Aotidae
Gene: 7SK
Rfam family: 7SK RNA
About the family: 7SK was discovered as an abundant small nuclear RNA in the mid-70s but a possible function has only recently been suggested.
Source: Ensembl
GGAUGUAAGGGCGAUCUGGCUGUGACAGCUCUUACCCGAUUGAUUGCCCAGUUUGAUUUGGCUGAUCUGGCUGGCUAGUCGGGUGUCCCCACCCCCUCACCGCUGCAUGCGCAUCCCUCCUGAAGCUGUGCCAAAGCUUCCCCAAUAGAGGAGGACCAGUGUUUGGUCAAGGAUAUAGGAGUAGCUGCACUCCCCUGCUAGAACCUCCAAACAAGCUCUCAAUGUUCACUGGGGACUCCUCUCUGCAGGGGUUUUGCCUUUCCUGUCUACAG